GGGCAGGUGGUGAAAUUGGCAAACACGCUAGCCUUAGGAGCUAGUGCCUGAAUAAGGCUUGUGGGUUCAACUCCCACCCUGCCCACCA
RNAcentral lists this transfer RNA (88 nucleotides) under Candidatus Nealsonbacteria bacterium CG07_land_8_20_14_0_80_40_10. RNAcentral's name for it is "tRNA-Leu". It matches the Rfam family "tRNA". Rfam says of the family: Transfer RNA (tRNA) molecules are approximately 80 nucleotides in length. Their secondary structure includes four short double-helical elements and three loops (D, anti-codon, and T loops). Further hydrogen bonds mediate the characteristic L-shaped molecular structure. tRNAs have two regions of fundamental functional importance: the anti-codon, which is responsible for specific mRNA codon recognition, and the 3' end, to which the tRNAs corresponding amino acid is attached (by aminoacyl-tRNA synthetases). tRNAs cope with the degeneracy of the genetic code in two manners: having more than one tRNA (with a specific anti-codon) for a particular amino acid; and 'wobble' base-pairing, i.e. permitting non-standard base-pairing at the 3rd anti-codon position. RNAcentral also lists the same sequence under 2 other names. Lineage: Bacteria; Candidatus Nealsoniibacteriota. The record is from RNAcentral.